AUUGAACGCUGGCGGCAGGCCUAACACAUGCAAGUCGAACGGUAGCACAGAGAGCUUGCUCUCGGGUGACGAGUGGCGGACGGGUGAGUAAUGUCUGGGAAACUGCCCGAUGGAGGGGGAUAACUACUGGAAACGGUAGCUAAUACCGCAUAACGUCGCAAGACCAAAGUGGGGGACCUUCGGGCCUCACACCAUCGGAUGUUCCCAGGUGGGAUUAGCUAGUAGGUGGGGUAAUGGCUCACCUAGGCGACGAUCCCUAGCUGGUCUGAGAGGAUGACCAGCCACACUGGAACUGAGACACGGUCCAGACUCCUACGGGAGGCAGCAGUGGGGAAUAUUGCACAAUGGGCGCAAGCCUGAUGCAGCCAUGCCGCGUGUAUGAAGAAGGCCUUCGGGUUGUAAAGUACUUUCAGCGGGGAGGAAGGCGGUGGAGUUAAUAACUUCACCGAUUGACGUUACCCGCAGAAGAAGCACCGGCUAACUCCGUGCCAGCAGCCGCGGUAA
This 504-nucleotide ribosomal RNA is filed under the name uncultured bacterium. RNAcentral's name for it is "partial 16S ribosomal RNA". It matches the Rfam family "Bacterial small subunit ribosomal RNA", at positions 30 to 523 of the family's 1533-position model. The record is from RNAcentral.